Molecule: long non-coding RNA, 639 nt
Filed under: Homo sapiens (human)
Lineage: Eukaryota; Metazoa; Chordata; Mammalia; Primates; Hominidae
Description: HSALNT0127626
Source: RNAcentral
CUUAGUAAUGCUCACCCAAUUACCUUUCCUAGUAUAUCUUCAUCUUGUUAAAGUGUAUGAGAACUGCUUUGGAGAGUCUAAUAAGUCCAAAUGAGCAUUAAAAAGGAGAGAGAGUAGGAGAAGUAUCUCUUGAGAAAGAUUAAAAAGCGAGCACAGGCUGAGUGCAGUGGGUCACGCCUGUAGUCUCAGCACUUUGGGAGGUCGAGGUAGGCAGAUUGCUGGAACUCAGGAGUUCGAGACCAGCCUGGACAACAUGGCAAAAUCCUGUUUCUACAAAAGGACUGUUUUCUAUUUGAUUGGGAAGUGUUAGAAUGGCAACAGUGACAAAUCCUGUGGCAAAUCUUCAUGCAAAGGUGCUAAGAAUUCAGUGAUGAAAACAUGAUGUAUCCUAGGCAUGGAAAUAAUAUUCUAGUGAUUUCUUCUUGACAAUUAGAUUAUGUUGAAUUUAGCAGCGAUUUUUUUUUAACUUUUACUCUAGUAGUUUGUUGGACUCUUUUUCCCCAUUUCCAAUUUUUUGAAUUAUGAGUUAAUUUUCUUCCUUCUAAUUCUCCUCAGUUUUAUUCUCCAUAUAAUUUGCAUUGUAUUUCCAUUUUAAAAUCCAAUAAAAUAAAAAUCAUAUAAAUGCUGAAGCAUCAAAAU